This is a long non-coding RNA of Hipposideros armiger (great roundleaf bat), 395 nucleotides long. RefSeq lists it as uncharacterized. Lineage: Eukaryota; Metazoa; Chordata; Mammalia; Chiroptera; Hipposideridae. The record is from RefSeq and is a predicted model, not a curated record. The transcript has 3 exons.
UUUUCAAUGCCUGACAUCACCCUGCAGACAAUUGGCAGCCAGGAGAGGGGCAGCUGCCACUCUCUUCAGAUAUCUCUCUAUUUAAAGUUCAAAGACAGGCAGGAGAACAAAGAGGUAAGCCUGGCCCUGACCAACCCACCCGACAAUAGGAAGAAUGGCUGAAAAAGAAUCUACAUCAUCCCAACUUCUAGUCCCUAUUCUUCUCUUGGUUGGCUGGAUUGUGGGCUGCAUCCUAAUGGUUUAUGUGGUCUUCUUUUAGAAAGGCAAGAAGACUUCAGAUCGACACCAUUUAGAAGAAUAAAGAAAAGCAUGAACAUCAUAGAUUGUCAAAUGUUUCUCAUGUAAAUAACUGCAAUGUUUGACAUUGCUUUAUAAACUUGGAUUUAUAAACUGGU